This 253-nucleotide ribosomal RNA is filed under the name uncultured bacterium. RNAcentral describes it as "partial 16S ribosomal RNA". It matches the Rfam family "Bacterial small subunit ribosomal RNA", at positions 524 to 776 of the family's 1533-position model. The record is from RNAcentral.
UACAGAGGGUGCGAGCGUUAAUCGGAUUUACUGGGCGUAAAGCGUGUGUAGGUGGCUACCUAAGUCGAUUGUGAAAUCCCUAGGCUCAACCUGGGAAUUGCAGUCGAUACUGGGAAGCUCGAGUUCGGUAGAGGACGGCGGAAUUCCCGGUGUAGCGGUGAAAUGCGUAGAUAUCGGGAGGAACAUCGAUGGCGAAAGCAACCGUCUGGGCCUGAACUGACACUGAGACACGAAAGCGUGGGGAGCAAACAGG